ACUCCUUCCUUCUUUUCAGGCUUCUGAUAGGAGGACUGUAGUGGAGCUGGGGUGAGGCUAGGGAAUUAGAGUGGGGCUGGGUGGGGGAAGAAAGUUGUUCCAAAUAUUAACUGGUCUUGUGAGGUGGCCUCUUGGCGGGAGCCUGACCACCUAACUUCCUGUUUUUCCUCCAGCUGCCUCCUCCCCUCCCUCUGCUCUAGGCUGGAACUAAGCUGAGGAAGGAAGGAGGAGCAGCAAAUUUGGCUGGAGUUGCUUGUCUGAUUCCCUGCAGGCUGGGGGCCAAGACAUUCUCCCUCAACAAGCAGGGGGGAGCACAUAUAGUCCCGGGUCGGGUUGUUGCGUCUCUGCACUUGCUCCUCUGUCCACAGCAGGAACAAGAGGCUCCUGGAAAACCCCAGCUCCUUGCCAGCUCUUCCAUGAGCACAUCCUGGUCCUGGUGCCUAAGAUCUCUCCAUGCAGGAGCAGCCGGGAACUCCAGAGGCGGUGGCAACGCCAGCCACACCACCCGCUCCACCGCCUCCUGCCCUGCCACCCAGCCAGCUGCUGGUCCCAUCACUGCCAGUGUUUGUGGACCACGCAAAACAGCCAAGCAAGGAGCUCAUUAAGCCCAAAGCAAUUUUAGGACGGCCAGUAGAAAGACCCACAGAGGCUGCUGCUGCUGCUGCUGCUGCUGCUGCUGCUGCUGCUGCUGAGUGCCCGGGACUGGGCGACAGGGGAUUUGGAGUCAAGAACCAUCACUGUCAGGUCUGCAGACCCCCAAGCCAGUUUCUCAAGUCAGGCACCUCCUACUCCCUGUGGAGACCUAGGGAUUUCUAAGGCCUUCCAGCUCCCCCUGUCACCCCCAUCUUCACUCCCCAUGCCCUGCACUUAGCCUCCCUUGGUGGCUCCUCUUUGUAUUCCCUUCCCCAUCUCAUCCCACACCCAUCCCAAGUUUUCAAAGUGACAACAGAGGAUUAAGAGACACCCCUGUUCCUAUCUUGGUCAUUUAGUCUGCAGUUGCCUGUGACUUCCCAUGCUGUAUAUUGUGGCACAACUGUUCUCUCAGAGCCACCAGGCAUGUAUCAAGAGCUCCAGAAAGACAUCUGUUUCCAGGCUAGGCUGUUUUUUUUCCUGGAAUUGCUGGGCCAAGGAGAGACUCUGGCCAGUCACUGUGAUCACACCUGAGAGCUCGCUGUCCUGAUUUCUGAAGACCCAGGAGAAAGAGUCAGCCCCCCAGCUCACUGCCUGGGGUAGCCACCCUUGGGUACCUGGACUGCCACAUCAGUUCUGUGGCCCUCUGCCCCCUCCUUGCCCUGGUCAAGCCUGGGAAGGGAGAGGAAGGCAAGAGGACCCCAUCCUAACCGCUGUCAUCCCUCCUCUUGCCAGCGGAUCUGAGCCAGCCAAGAAGCAGGCUCACAGUUUGCCAUGGAGGGCUCGGGUGAUAACUGAACCUGAAUGUGAGCGGCAUGCGCUGCGAGACCUACAUCAGCACCUUGCAGGCCUUUCCAAGCAUCCACCUCUACAAGCUGACCGAAACAUCUCAGCCUGACGCCACAGCUGCUCAGGGGCCAGUGGUCUGAGAGUUUUUCUUUGAACGCAAACCUGAGCUCUUUAGCUAUGUGCUGGGCUACUACCAUACUCGGCAGUUGCACUGCCCUGCCGAUGUUUGUUGGAACGUCCUAGAGGAGGAGUUGGCUUACUGGGGCCUGGUGGAAGUGCCACUGGCACCUUGCUGCUGGCUCAAGCUAAGUGGCAGGGACACUCAUACCCAAGACUUCCUGUCUUGGGAGGCAUGUGAGAGUGCCCACACAGAUGAACGCCUUCUGCUGAACCCGUUUAAAGGCCAGGGACUACGGAAUGCUUGGAAACCAUGACUCUGGGUGCUUCUUGACUAAUCCCGAUCUUCCCUAGGGGCCAAGGUAACUAAUUAAUAGUGUGUGGCAUCAUGCUAGACACUUUUACCCCCAAAGGGCCCUGCCAAGUUGCCACAAUGGCAACACACUGGGCAUGGUGCUUGGGACCUGAAUCUACAGACCCCCAGAACAAUUCGAGGGCAUCCCUCAAAAGGGAGGCAAAGAAGGGUGAGAGUAUAGUUAGAGAUGGCUGAUAAAUGAGGGGACUUCUGACAUGCCUCUUUUCCCCCAGUACUUUUCCCUGAUCUCUACACUCUUUGCUGUGUGUUCCCUGGUCAUCAUCUUUGGGGAGACGAAGGUCCAGCUGGAUUACUUCUCUGCCAACUUCAUUCCUAUGGGACAGGGGGUGGGGGUGUGGGAGUACCAACAGCAGCAGCAGCAGCCACCCCCGUGCCCUGCACCUGCUCUACCCUGAUAAGAUGCACUUCCUGUGCAGCCCUCUCAAUCUGGCUGAUAUCUUCUGCUUCUUCCCUAUGUUGAUGGAAUUGGUGGUGGGUGACAAGGCUGAACGGCAGCCUCAUCUUAACCUAACCCUUGGAGCCAUUCGUUCUCUCUGUGUCCUCAAACUGGUUUGUCCCCUGGGCUUUCUUGAAAAGUCCCUGGCCCUGAGGGUCCUGGUUCAUACUCUCCAUUCUUCCUGGAAAGAGGUGUGUGCCUUUCUCCUGAUUUAGGUGGCUGAAAUCUUAUUCUUGGCUUGCUCUUCCUGUAUGGGGAGCUCUUGGGCAUGUCUACCCCAGGUCAGGUUGAACCUCACUUUGGAGACAUCUUUAUAUGUCUUUGUUGAACUGUCAUAACUCUCAUCACUGUUGGCUAUGGAGAUAUCUACCCUCUCUCUGCUCUGGGCCAGCUCACUGGUGCUGUUACAGCCACCAUGGACAUAUGCACUGGUGUCUUGCUGAUGCUUGUGAUCCUGGUCCACUUCCAGUGCUAUUAUGCUUGCCAGAAACUAAGGCCCAGUGGGGUCCUAUAAUGGGUCCAUUGGUCAAGAGGGGUGGACCCCACCUUCCUUUCCUUCCUUUUACUAGUUGUAGUUACAGAUAAGAAUUUCUGGCUUUAGAUUUGGCAAAGAAUCAUUCAGGAGGAACCUCAGGUCAUGGCAAUUCCUGUUAGUCAGAAUAAGCUAACCAUGGCCAGACUCUUCCCCAUGAUCAAGGGGACACCCUGGAGGAAAGGGCUUAGGGGCAAGGCUAGGUAGGCCUCAGCUUUCUUCUGCCCCACCCAAGGCCUUUCUCUUGAUCCUACAGUGACCAAGAAGGAUAGAGGGUAGUUUUCCUAGAUUGGUGCUAUAUCCCCCUCUCAACCAGUUCUCCCCUCCCAUGCCCUCAUCCUUGCCCCAUGUCAGCUAGAGCCUAAUCUAGAUGGGGGGCUUUUGAGUGAUGGUAGCUGUAGGAUAUCAACAUUGGUUGCCUAUGGGUAUCAAUGGUGAUUGGCUGUGGGUAUCCGUAGCAAUUGUCUGUGUCAGCAACUGCUUAUGGGUAUUGAUGAUGACUGGUACCUUUAGUGCCCAGGCAUAGCCAGAUUGUAGCAUUGCUCCCCAUACUGCUCCUGGUACAAAUGCCCCUUAGAGUCGUAAGGAGGCUUUUGAAGAUUCUCAGAGACUUCAAGCAGAUGCGGAUCAGCCAGGUCUGAACCCAUAGCACUCUAACUGCAUGACCUCUUCCUCAUCCCAUUUUAUCCUUGCCCAUUCCUCCCCUCUCCUCCCCAUCUCUGUUUUUUCAUAAUAUUUUACAAAUAGUAUUAGCCAUCAUGAAUCAAUAUAUAUUAGUCAAUAUUAGCCACAGUAUCUCAACCACGAUAACAGUGUGUAGUCACUAAUAGACAUGAAAUGUUAUCAUAGCACAUUACAUGGAUAGGAACGAGGAAACUGGGAUUGUCUGCAAGAAUAGGUAAGCAAUUUCCUCUUUCAUAUUUUUAAAACAUAUGUUUAGAUUUUACUCAUUUAUAAUUCUUUUUUACUUUUCCAAACACUUUUCAGUACCCACAACGGGUCUACCUCCAAUCCUCACUGCUAUAGAAUAGUGCUACCUUCCCACCUCUUCUUCUACUUUUUUUUUUUUUUUACUACCUGUGUGCUCUUCCCUCCUGGCUUUUCCCUAUGGUGCCUCCCACCUUGUAUCUCUCUUGGAACUGGCUUCCAGGGGAAGAGAAGGGACAUCCUCAGGUCUGACUUCAAAUCAAGCCACUAGGUUAUCUGAAGAAGUAUCCCAAGAAACUGGGCUGAGCUGGGAGGUUGAAUUGAGCCAUCACUGUUGCUGAAGCUGUGAGCAUAAUUCUGUUUACCAAAUGUUUAAAUAAAAAAUCCUUUG
This 4198-nucleotide long non-coding RNA is filed under the name Microcebus murinus (gray mouse lemur). RNAcentral describes it as "lncRNA (ENSMICG00000048194.1)". Lineage: Eukaryota; Metazoa; Chordata; Mammalia; Primates; Cheirogaleidae. The record is from RNAcentral.